Molecule: ribosomal RNA, 457 nt
Filed under: uncultured Chloroflexota bacterium
Lineage: Bacteria; Bacillati; Chloroflexota
Description: bacterial SSU rRNA
Rfam family: Bacterial small subunit ribosomal RNA
Source: RNAcentral
GGGGCCCGCACAAGCAGCGGAGCGUGUGGUUUAAUUCGAUGCAACGCGAAGAACCUUACCAGGGUUUGACAUGCUUAAAGUAGAAACUCGAAAGAGGGACGACCUGUAUCCAGUCAGGAAUUUGCACAGGUGCUGCAUGGCUGUCGUCAGCUCGUGCCGUGAGGUGUUAGGUUAAGUCCUGCAACGAGCGCAACCCUCGUCGCUAGUUACUUUUCUCUAGCGAUACUGCCCGUAUAACGUGGAGGAAGUGGGGAUGACGUCAAAUCAUCAUGCCCCUUAUGUUCUGGGCUACACACGUGCUACAAUGGCCGGUACAGACGGACGCAAAGCCGCGAGGUGGAGCAAAUCCUAAAAAGCCGGUCUCAGUUCGGAUUGCAGGCUGCAAUUCGCCUGCAUGAAGUCGGAAUCGCUAGUAAUCGCAGGUCAGCAUACUGCGGUGAAUACGUUCCCGGGCCUU